This 22-nucleotide small nuclear RNA is filed under the name Arabidopsis thaliana (thale cress). Its description in RNAcentral is "snRNA_12877". Lineage: Eukaryota; Viridiplantae; Streptophyta; Magnoliopsida; Brassicales; Brassicaceae. The record is from RNAcentral.
AAAAUCCGGUUCACUGUCCGGG